Triticum dicoccoides is the source of this 1499-nucleotide long non-coding RNA. RefSeq lists it as uncharacterized. The record is from RefSeq and is a predicted model, not a curated record. NCBI's taxonomy places the organism in Eukaryota, Viridiplantae, Streptophyta, Magnoliopsida, Poales, Poaceae. The transcript has 3 exons.
AAAAUCCCCUCCCCAAACUCCCGACACGACCCGCGCUGCUCCCCUGCUCUCCGCGUGUCCUCCUCCGCCGCCGCAGCUUCCUCCUCCGCCGCUCACACCUGCCUCGCGCAGCCCCCCUAGCCCCCUUGCCUACCUCCCAAAUCUCCCCUCUUUCACCACAAAAUCGGUUCUUCUCCUCCCGUCGUGCCUCCUGCUCGCGCGCGGCGACGGUACGUCCUCCUCGUCGCUCUCGUCGCCCCCGUCGCCGGAGGAGGUGCGGGGCAGGCAGAAGUGGCUCGCGCUGUGCCUGCGCUACCUCGGGUGCAAGUGGGCCGCCGUGUCGCGGGCCUACGCGCCGGUCGCCGCCUCGGCCGUUCGCCCAUCCGCGGAGGCCUGCGUAUUGGUGCCCUAGGCUCUGUUGAUUUACAAGGUCAUGUUGGUUUCUUCAGUGGGGAGAGGCGAGAAGAAUUGUUGCAUCUGGAAAUGGAGGUCAACACCAUCUACAGGACAAUGAAGCAAAUAAUCUACUGCAAUUUGAUCUACUGUAAAUUACCGAAUCAAUUGACAGCUACUCCUAGUUGCAUAAACCUGGCUGGUGCUUGCACUAUUUACUGAAAAUAAAUCAUUAUUUACUGAAGAUAAAUCUGAGGACAUGAUCAAUUGUGCUUCAAAUUACAAAGCAAGCAAGAUUCGUCACUGGAGAUUAAAAAUCAAGGAGCCCUGUACUUCUUCUCACCGACAACAGCACGAGCAGGGGACCUUCGGGCGGCAACACACGAGCAGGGGACCUCCGGGCGGCAACACGAGCAGGGGACCAACAACAACUUGCAGAGGAGCAGCAGAAGGAGCUCGAGCUUGAUGUCCAGGACGAGCUUGAGGGAGCUCGAGGUCCAGGCGUGGCGGGAACCCGCGGUUGAGGCGCGCGCAGGUCCUGGGCGGCGACGGCGCAUAUCCUGGGUGGUGGGAGGGGAUAUCGGACACGCAGGCCUGGCGAUGGUGGCCCAGGUCCUAGGUGGCAGAGGAGCAUGUCCUGGGCGACGGCGAAGCAAGCAAUUCGGUGGCGCAGAUCCUGGGCGACGGAGCAGCACGUACUGGAGCAAGCAAUUGGGCGAAGCAGGACCUGGGCGUUGGAGGAGUGUCAGGCUUGCUCUAUUGUUGACACUAGACAUGCAACAGUAGCGAUUCAGUUUGCCCAGCCCAACGUCAGCCGUCGAUCUACCAUCCAAGGGACGCGGAAGAGUGGUACCGCUUCGCGGCCCAGAUCGUCGUCACAGCCGUUGAUCUGAAAACGGACGGUUGCUACCGUUUCACUUACUUUUUGAAAGUUACCGCAUGUUGUCCUUUUAUUGCUCAUGUCGCUGUCGCUCCUUUUUACCUCGCUAAAACCCUUUUAAGCUCGCCUCCGGAUUGUGGAGAGGGCAUCUUGACUUGUAUCUGGGCUUGGCCCUCGAGCCGCCGUGUUCCGGCUGGCCACAAACCCUAGAACUCCAGCUUGAGUGAAUGAAAAUUGAUCCCCAAAA